UUUUUUCUUUUUUUAUCCAAGGAACUUAGUCAUGAAGGAGAGACCAGAACCGAAACUACCAGCCUCGAUCUGGAGCACGAUCGAAAACAGCCUCGAUCUAGAGCCGGUGGAGCCUGCCUCGAUCUGGAGAAUCCGACGAGAUCCAGCGAAAUCAGGCGAGAUCCGGCGAGAUUGAGGCAACCAGCAGUUGGAUCGGGACCCUGGGGCGGCG
Molecule: long non-coding RNA, 211 nt
Filed under: Hordeum vulgare
Lineage: Eukaryota; Viridiplantae; Streptophyta; Magnoliopsida; Poales; Poaceae
Description: long non-coding RNA (HVUL_LNC016217)
Source: RNAcentral